Molecule: transfer RNA, 74 nt
Filed under: Tuber melanosporum (Perigord truffle)
Lineage: Eukaryota; Fungi; Ascomycota; Pezizomycetes; Pezizales; Tuberaceae
Also listed under: 1 other name
Description: tRNA-Gly (ACC) (tRNA-Gly-ACC-1-1)
Source: RNAcentral
GGUUUUGUGGUGUAGUUGGUUAUCAUACCAGUCCACCACAGUGGUGGUUCCCUGUUCGAGCGCGGGCGAAAUCA